This 253-nucleotide ribosomal RNA is filed under the name uncultured bacterium. RNAcentral describes it as "partial 16S ribosomal RNA". It matches the Rfam family "Archaeal small subunit ribosomal RNA", at positions 474 to 727 of the family's 1478-position model. The record is from RNAcentral.
UACCAGCACCCCGAGUGGUCGGGACGAUUAUUGGGCCUAAAGCAUCCGUAGCCGGUCCUACAAGUCUUCCGUUAAAUCCAGCUGCUCAACAGAUGGGUUGCGGAAGAUACUAUAGGGCUAGGAGGCGGGAGAGGCAAGCGGUACUCAGUGGGUAGGGGUAAAAUCCUCUGAUCCAUUGAAGACCACCAGUGGCGAAGGCGGCUUGCCAGAACGCGCUCGACGGUGAGGGAUGAAAGCUGGGGGAGCAAACCGG